CCGAGCGCACGCACUAGCCGACAAACUGCAAACGUCGUUCCCUUCCAAAAAAACAGCACACCGAUACAUCCCUUUCGCUAUCCUUAUCCCGGUCCCUCUCCAGAAAAAAAAAAGCCUUAUCCCGAUCCCUUUCCUCCUCUCAGAACGGAGGUGAAGAAGCACGGGAGCACACCGGAGCGUCGAUGUGGAGGCGGCGGAUCAGAGGAGCCGGCGAAGAGGUCGGCCAGGACGGGAAUAGCAGCGCCACCGUCUCUUCCUCCCAAAUUUUCAGUGCGGAGCUGGAGUAAUGCCGUCGGCGUCGUGGUCGAUCCGUCAAGGGUGCGGGAUGUGGGAUGUCCACCCAUCCGCAACUACUGGAAGAACACGCUGGCAGCGAGUGUCCCCAAGAGCAAGGGAGGAGAUGAUGUUGCAGCUCAAGGGGGCCUCACUACCUGAAGGUGAGCAUGGAUGGCGCCCAUUUUCCCCCAUCAAAUUUGUACAAAUUCGUUGCAGAGCAAUGGACAUUUGUGUUUGAAUCAGUGGGUGAAUAUUUUGCAAUCAAUAGAUAGGCAGUUAUGUGAAUUAUGGGGAGAAAGCAGUCCCUUGGAUUUCUAGAAGAGUUGCCUCGUAUUGUAAUGCAGUUGCUUGAUUUUGUUAGAACAGUUGUUUGGUUUUUGCUAGGCCAAUUUUGCAUUGUGUUUUAGGUAAUGUGGUUGCUUCGAUUGCUAGGACAGUUGUUUGGUUUUUUCUAGGCCAAUUUUGCAUUAUGUUUUAGGUAAUACGGUUGCUUCGAUUGCUAGGACUGUUGCUUGGUUUUUCUAGGACUGUUGCUUGGUUUUGCAAGAAUAGUUUUGCAUUGUUUGUUUUCGUAAUAUAGUGGGA
RNAcentral lists this ribosomal RNA (861 nucleotides) under Triticum aestivum (bread wheat). RNAcentral's name for it is "partial small subunit ribosomal RNA". Lineage: Eukaryota; Viridiplantae; Streptophyta; Magnoliopsida; Poales; Poaceae. The record is from RNAcentral.